UACAGAGAGUGCGAGCGUUGUUCGGAAUUACUGGGCUUAAAGCGCACGUAGGCGGCGUUGCAAGUGUCGGGUGAAAUCCCGCGGCUCAACCGUGGAAUUGCCCUUCAAACUGCAAAUCUCGAAUGUGGUAGGGGAGAGCGGAAUUCCUGGUGGAGCGGUGAAAUGCGUAGAUAUCAGGAGGGACACCGGUGGCGAAGGCGGCUCUCUGGUUCACUACUGACGCUGAGGUGCGAAAGCUUGGGUAUCGAACGGG
This 253-nucleotide ribosomal RNA is filed under the name uncultured bacterium. RNAcentral describes it as "partial 16S ribosomal RNA". It matches the Rfam family "Bacterial small subunit ribosomal RNA", at positions 524 to 776 of the family's 1533-position model. The record is from RNAcentral.